RNAcentral lists this ribosomal RNA (350 nucleotides) under uncultured organism. RNAcentral describes it as "bacterial SSU rRNA". It matches the Rfam family "Bacterial small subunit ribosomal RNA", at positions 564 to 911 of the family's 1533-position model. The record is from RNAcentral.
AGCGCGCUGUAGGCGGCCGGGUAAGUUGGACGUGAAAGCUCCUGGCUCAACUAGGAGAGGUCGUUCAAAACUGCCUGGCUAGAGGGCGACAGAGGGAGGUGGAAUUCCCGGUGUAGUGGUGAAAUGCGUAGAUAUCGGGAGGAACACCAGUGGCGAAGGCGGCCUCCUGGGUCGCCCCUGACGCUCAGACGCGAAAGCUAGGGGAGCAAACGGGAUUAGAUACCCCGGUAGUCCUAGCUGUAAACGAUGUGGACUUGGCGUUGGUGGGGUCAAAUCCAUCAGUGCCGUAGCUAACGCGAUAAGUCCACCGCCUGGGGACUACGACCGCAAGGUUAAAACUCAAAGGAAUU